UUCUUCUCCUCUCGCUACAUGCACAGGCACAUGACAGUACAACAGGUAUAGAGUUCUGUUUCUAUUACAUGCAGUUAUUUCUUUACUGUUCCUUUAUCUUUCUCUAUACAGGUCAUAGCCAGUCCUCUUUACUGUUACUUAUGGAUAUUCAUUUACCUGUUCCGACCACUUACCUAUUCUACUGCAUAUUUUACUAUUCUUUCAUGAUUCU
This 211-nucleotide long non-coding RNA is filed under the name Ananas comosus (pineapple). RNAcentral's name for it is "long non-coding RNA (ACOM_LNC009862)". Lineage: Eukaryota; Viridiplantae; Streptophyta; Magnoliopsida; Poales; Bromeliaceae. The record is from RNAcentral.